CUGGCGGUAUGCUUAACACAUGCAAGUCGGACGGCAGCGGGCCCUUCGGGGCGCCGGCGAGUGGCGGACGGGUGAGUAACGCGUAGGAAUCUGCCUGUUAGUGGGGGACAACUUAGGGAAACUUAAGCUAAUACCGCAUACGCCCUACGGGGGAAAGCGGGGGACUUUCGGGCCUCGCGCUAACAGAUGAGCCUGCGUUGGAUUAGCUAGUUGGCGGGGUAAGGGCCCACCAAGGCGACGAUCCAUAGCUGGUCUGAGAGGACGAUCAGCCACACUGGGACUGAGACACGGCCCAGACUCCUACGGGAGGCAGCAGUGGGGAAUAUUGGACAAUGGGCGCAAGCCUGAUCCAGCAAUACCGCGUGUGUGAAGAAGGCCCGAGGGUUGUAAAGCACUUUCAAUUGGGAGGAAAAAGGCAGGCUUAAUACGCCUGCCCUUGACAUUACCUUUAGAAGAAGCACCGGCUAACUCCGUGCCAGCAGCCGCGGUAAUACGGAGGGUGCGAGCGUUAAUCGGAAUUACUGGGCGUAAAGCGUGCGUAGGCGGCCUGUUAAGUCAGAUGUGAAAGCCCUGGGCUCAACCUGGGAACGGCAUUUGAAACUGGCGGGCUAGAGUUAGGUAGAGGGGAGUGGAAUUCCGGGUGUAGCGGUGAAAUGCGUAGAUAUCCGGAGGAACACCAGUGGCGAAGGCGGCUCCCUGGACCCAAACUGACGCUGAGGCACGAAAGCGUGGGUAGCAAACAGGAUUAGAUACCCUGGUAGUCC
RNAcentral lists this ribosomal RNA (764 nucleotides) under uncultured bacterium. RNAcentral describes it as "bacterial SSU rRNA". It matches the Rfam family "Bacterial small subunit ribosomal RNA", at positions 36 to 796 of the family's 1533-position model. The record is from RNAcentral.